UGGGGAAUAUUGGACAAUGGGCGAAAGCCUGAUCCAGCCAUGCCGCGUGAGUGACGAAGGUCUUCGGAUUGUAAAGCUCUUUUACCAGGGAUGAUAAUGACAGUACCUGGAGAAUAAGCUCCGGCUAACUCCGUGCCAGCAGCCGCGGUAAUACAGAGGGGGCAAGCGUUGUUCGGAAUCACUGGGCGUAAAGCGCACGUAGGUGGAUAGUUAAGUUCGGGGUGAAAUCCCAGGGCUCAACCCUGGAACUGCCUCGGAUACUGGCUAUCUCGAGUCCGGAAGAGGUGAGUGGAAUUCCUAGUGUAGAGGUGAAAUUCGUAGAUAUUAGGAAGAACACCGGUGGCGAAGGCGGCUCACUGGUCCGGUACUGACACUGAGGUGCGAAAGCGUGGGGAGCAAACAGGAUUAGAUACCCCUGUAGUCCCUGAGCGGGCUGGCAAGGCGCAU
RNAcentral lists this ribosomal RNA (447 nucleotides) under uncultured bacterium. Its description in RNAcentral is "bacterial SSU rRNA". It matches the Rfam family "Bacterial small subunit ribosomal RNA", at positions 355 to 825 of the family's 1533-position model. The record is from RNAcentral.